RNAcentral lists this ribosomal RNA (253 nucleotides) under uncultured bacterium. RNAcentral describes it as "partial 16S ribosomal RNA". It matches the Rfam family "Bacterial small subunit ribosomal RNA", at positions 524 to 776 of the family's 1533-position model. The record is from RNAcentral.
GACGUAGGGCGCGAGCGUUGUCCGGAUUUAUUGGGCGUAAAGAGCUCGUAGGCGGCUUGUUGCGUCGACCGUGAAAACCCGCGGCUUAACUGCGGGCUUGCGGUUGAUACGGGCGGGCUGGAGUUCGGUAGGGGAGACUGGAAUUCCUGGUGUAGCGGUGAAAUGCGCAGAUAUCAGGAAGAACACCUAUGGCGAAGGCAGCUCUCUGGGACGGUACUGACGCUGAGACGCGAAAGCGUGGGGAGCGAACAGG